UUUACGUGAAUUGCUUAUAACUGACCCCAUGUGACAGUCAAGGCCGUGUUCAGUGGUAAGUGCAUGUGGCCCUCUGUACUUUGUACACUCUCAGCAGGUGCAUCUAGAAUGUUUGGGACAUUUUCGUGAAAUAUAUAUAGCGUGUGUAUAGUUAACAGUAAUAUUAAUAGAUGACAUACAUAACCUAAGAAGAUUUUUACGGUCAUUUUGGAUUAUAUACACUACACACUUGUAUGGCUGCAGGGAUUUAUCCCGUUAUGAACUUGAUUUUGUAAUUAAUUUGAUUUUGGUAAAGCAUGUUUAUUGCAAUUCUCUUGCAUACAUUUAUAUUUAAAAAAAAUACAAUUGUAUAGCUCUAGGCUAUUUGCCGACAUUAUAAUGCAUGCUUAUACUUUUUAUAAUACAAUAUGCAUAUACGUGAUGAAAAAAAAAUAUAAUUUGCAUCAUUUAGAAACAACUCCAAAUGUAAUUAACAUCAGAUUUAAAUAGAUGACGUCACAUUUGCGUGAGGGAAACGUGGGUUCAGUAGACGCGCUUGAACACAGCCAAGAAACAGCUUCAUAGUUUAUAGGCUAGUGCAAAACAGAUUUAACACGAGUCCUUGUUAAAUAACAAUAAUACGAACAUUAUAAGCUAUGUGGGUCUUAUUUCUUAGUUGCAUAAUUUUUUGGGAGAAAAGUAAGAUUUAUAUUUAACUGUUUUCUAAAAGUCCUUACCUGUUGCAGUCUGCGCAAUUAUAAUGCACGAAGUGAAGAUGAAAUGAUGUUGGCAUGUGGAGGUGUGAUGACUGUCUCAUUGUUAGGGCCUAACGAAGAUACCAGAAGGGACAAAAUUCGUUUAAAUCGGAUUGAUGAAUGGAAAGUCUGACAAUAACUCCAAAGACUCAAUUUGAAACGCAUCCACACCGCCUCUUCAGGCCUAGACUAUUGUGGAUUGUGUCUUCACCACGUGCUGGAGAUCUGGAGAACCUCAUAAAUCAAUUCAACACUUGACUUGUUAACAGCAUUUACAGGUCUAUAAAAAAAGAUUGCAAUUUGAGUAAUUUAUUUAUUGCGCAUUAACCCUGUUUUCGUUCAUCAGGUCAACUCUAUGAGAUGUUCCACAUUAAAAAAAAGUGUUGACAGGAGGUAGUUGCUAUCUUUGGUUAUCUAGCUGUAUGAGUGUUUAUCUUCCUUCAUAAAGCUAGAUAACCGAAAGUAGAAACGUCCUCCUUAACUGCAUAGUGGACAAGUUGGGAAGGAAAUGAUCGCAGGGAACUGCAUGAGCCUCUCAAACUGCUUUGUCUUUGUGAGAGACCAGAGGACUGGAGCUAAGGGGAAAAACGCCAUCUGCAACUGCCAGCCAUUUACACUGCCUUUUUGGAGCAAGAGGGAGAGAGGAAAAAAAUAGUGCAAUUGUCCAAAUGAAAGAAAAGAAAAAUAAUAGUCAACCCUCAUCCUUCUUCUACCAGCUCCCCUCCCUUCUUCGUCAAUGGAAGCAUUUAGUGCCAUCUGUGCCCCCGGAGAAAAGAGGGAAAAAAGAAAAGAGUGAGACUCUUCAUCCCAAGUGCCAAUGGGGACAAAGAGGCUGCCAGUUGCCACGGACCACCAGAUGCAGGAAGACUGCAAGUCUGAAUGAGGGGUGUGCUUUCAGGAAGCCAUCUUGAUGGAGAAACUGGCUGCUGCUCCCUAAAAUGGCUGUGUUGGCAUGAGGCUCCUGGCAAUGAAACUCUAGAAAAAAUUUCCAUCGUUUUCAUCAGCUGCUGGAGAAACCAUGGCCAUCCUGCUAUGUUUGACUCAAAUGGUCAAACACAUCACCUCAGUAAUACAGCAUCCAGCAUCUCUUCCAGAUGGUUCGCUGUGAAAAUUUAACAAGCAGAUGAUUUCAAAUGUGCACUAAUUGUCUUAAAACUUUGCAGACAAUCAGUAAUACUGGAUGGGUGUGUGGACUUGGGCAGUUCACCUAGUUAACGUUGUUGUACAACGUGUUGUGCAAUCUUAUCAGUGCUGUGUAAACUGAAGCAUAAUGUGCCUUAAUGUGUGAAAAGUUUAUAACGAAAGUAGUUGUUAUAGAAACAUGUCAGUGCAAUCCCUAUUUAAAAAAAAUAGUAUUUUCAAUUACCUUUCAUGUUAGUCAUCCACAUUUAAUGUUAUUAUAUUAUAAACUGCACCCGUUGAUGUACAGAAAAUUGGUUAAUCCAGAUAUUUUGUAUGGCUACUGUAUGUAUGGUUUAAUACAAGAAUUAUGCUCAGUUUCUCUCUGAAUUAUCAUUUGUCUGAUUAUGAGAUAUGUGAAACUGCACAAAUAAACAACAUUGAAGC
This is a long non-coding RNA of Carassius auratus (goldfish), 2300 nucleotides long. RefSeq lists it as uncharacterized. The record is from RefSeq and is a predicted model, not a curated record. Lineage: Eukaryota; Metazoa; Chordata; Actinopteri; Cypriniformes; Cyprinidae. The transcript is spliced from 4 exons.